RNAcentral lists this ribosomal RNA (510 nucleotides) under uncultured Acidobacteriota bacterium. RNAcentral describes it as "bacterial SSU rRNA". It matches the Rfam family "Bacterial small subunit ribosomal RNA", at positions 8 to 522 of the family's 1533-position model. Lineage: Bacteria; Pseudomonadati; Acidobacteriota. The record is from RNAcentral.
AGAGUUUGAUCCUGGCUCAGAAUCAACGCUGGCGGCGUGCCUAACACAUGCAAGUCGAGCGAGAAAAGGGGAGCAAUCCUCUGAGUACAGCGGCGCACGGGUGAGUAACACGUGGGUAAUCUGCCCUGGAGUGGGGAAUAACACCGGGAAACCGGUGCUAAUACCGCAUACGAUAACGAGGUCUGCGGACUUUGUUAUGAAAGGAGCAAUUCGCUCUAGGAGGAGCCCGCGACUGAUUAGCUAGUUGGUGAGGUAAUGGCUCACCAAGGCUUCGAUCAGUAUCCGGUCUGAGAGGACGGUCGGACACACUGGAACUGAGACACGGUCCAGACUCCUACGGGAGGCAGCAGUGGGGAAUUUUUCGCAAUGGGGGCAACCCUGACGAAGCAACGCCGCGUGGGUGAUGAAGUAUCUCGGUACGUAAAACCCUUUCGACGGGGAAGAAAACCGCAAGGUUUGACGGUACCCGUAGAAGAAGCCCCGGCUAACUCCGUGCCAGCAGCCGCGGUA